RNAcentral lists this ribosomal RNA (531 nucleotides) under uncultured Gemmatimonadota bacterium. RNAcentral describes it as "bacterial SSU rRNA". It matches the Rfam family "Bacterial small subunit ribosomal RNA", at positions 9 to 524 of the family's 1533-position model. Lineage: Bacteria; Pseudomonadati; Gemmatimonadota. The record is from RNAcentral.
GAGUUUGAUCAUGGCUCAGGACGAACGCUGGCGGCGCGCUUAACACAUGCAAGUCGAACGCUCUUUGCCUCUUCGGGGGCAAAGGGAGUGGCGAACGGGUGCGUAACACGUGAGCAACCUACCUCCUGGUGGGGGAUAACCUCGGGAAACCGGGGCUAAUACCGCAUACGGUCUUCGGGUCACCUGGCCUGGAGAGGAAAGGUGCUGCAAGGCAGUGCCGGGAGAGGGGCUCGCGGCGUAUCAGCUAGCUGGUGAGGUAACGGCUCACCAGGGCGAUGACGCGUAGGGGGCCUGAGAGGAUGGCCCCCACAUUGGGACUGAGAUACGGCCCAGACUCCUACGGGAGGCAGCAGUGGGGAAUCUUGCGCAAUGGCCGAAAGGCUGACGCAGCGACGCCGCGUGCGGGAGGACGCCUUUCGGGGUGUAAACCGCUGUCAGGGGGGACGAAGGCUCAAGGGAGGCAAUGCCCUUGGGAUUGACGGUACCCCCAGAGGAAGCACCGGCUAACUCCGUGCCAGCCGCCGCAGUAAG